This 253-nucleotide ribosomal RNA is filed under the name uncultured bacterium. RNAcentral describes it as "partial 16S ribosomal RNA". It matches the Rfam family "Bacterial small subunit ribosomal RNA", at positions 524 to 776 of the family's 1533-position model. The record is from RNAcentral.
UACGUAGGGGGCUAGCGUUGUCCGGAAUCAUUGGGCGUAAAGCGCGCGUAGGCGGCCCGGUAAGUCCGCUGUAAAAGUCCAGGGCUCAACCCUGGAACGCCGGUGGAUACUGUCGGGCUAGAGUCCGGAAGAGGCGAGUGGAAUUCCUGGUGUAGCGGUGGAAUGCGCAGAUAUCAGGAGGAACACCGAUGGCGAAGGCAGCUCGCUGGGACGUUACUGACGCUGAGACGCGAAAGCGUGGGGAGCAAACAGG